This is a non-coding RNA of Erythranthe guttata (spotted monkey flower), 314 nucleotides long. Lineage: Eukaryota; Viridiplantae; Streptophyta; Magnoliopsida; Lamiales; Phrymaceae. The record is from RefSeq and is a predicted model, not a curated record.
UAUUAACUGUAAAAAUUAUAUUACUAAGUGGCAACAUACACCGUCGCUAAUCCACUAUCACCACCACCACCACCGCCAUCGCCACAACCACCCUCUUCUCCCAAUUCCCGCCGAUGGCGAUCCAAAAUAGCCCAUCCUCUCUAUCUCUCCGUAGCCGCCGCUUCCACCGCCUUGUACCCGCCGCCUAUUUUGCCGAUCAGAACUGGGAAUGGUGCCCUAUUUUUCGAUUGCUUCGAGUAAUGUAGCUCCGCGUUGCACUUCAUGUAAUUUUUUACUUAUCAAUUUGUUGGAUAUGAAGCCCUUUAUAUACUGUU